GGUUAAGCGACUAAGCGUACACGGUGGAUGCCCUGGCAGUCAGAGGCGAUGAAGGACGUGUUAAUCUGCGAUAAGCGUCGGUAAGGUGAUAUGAACCGUUAUAACCGGCGAUUUCCGAAUGGGGAAACCCAGUGUGUUUCGACACACUAUCAUUAACUGAAUCCAUAGGUUAAUGAGGCGAACCGGGG
This 188-nucleotide ribosomal RNA is filed under the name Escherichia coli. RNAcentral's name for it is "partial 23S ribosomal RNA". It matches the Rfam family "Bacterial large subunit ribosomal RNA", at positions 1 to 189 of the family's 2925-position model. The record is from RNAcentral. Lineage: Bacteria; Pseudomonadati; Pseudomonadota; Gammaproteobacteria; Enterobacterales; Enterobacteriaceae.